UGGGGAAUAUUGCACAAUGGGCGAAAGCCUGAUGCAGCGACGCCGCGUGAGGGAUGACGGCCUUCGGGUUGUAAACCUCUUUCAGCAGGGACGAAGCGAAAGUGACGGUACCUGCAGAAGAAGCGCCGGCCAACUACGUGCCAGCAGCCGCGGUAAGACGUAGGGCGCGAGCGUUGUCCGGAAUUAUUGGGCGUAAAGAGCUCGUAGGCGGCUUGUUGCGUCGACUGUGAAAACCCGUGGCUCAACCAUGUGGUCUGCAGUCGAUACGGGCAGGCUAGAAUUCGGUAGGGGAGACUGGAAUUCCUGGUGUAGCGGUGAAAUGCGCAGAUAUCAGGAGGAACACCGAUGGCGAAGGCAGGUCUCUGGGCCGAUAUUGACGCUGAGGAGCGAAAGCGUGGGGAGCAAACAGG
This 410-nucleotide ribosomal RNA is filed under the name Bacillota bacterium. Its description in RNAcentral is "Firmicutes bacterium partial 16S ribosomal RNA". It matches the Rfam family "Bacterial small subunit ribosomal RNA", at positions 355 to 776 of the family's 1533-position model. The record is from RNAcentral. Lineage: Bacteria; Bacillati; Bacillota.